Molecule: non-coding RNA, 156 nt
Organism: Populus trichocarpa (black cottonwood)
Lineage: Eukaryota; Viridiplantae; Streptophyta; Magnoliopsida; Malpighiales; Salicaceae
Source: Rfam
UCUAGAACUCGAGAUAUGGGCUAAACACUGAACAGUGUCUGGGCUGCAGGACAUAUUCUGAUUUCUCUGUUGUUGCUAAGAUUUGGACUUCUAAACAGCAAAAUUGAGUCUUGGGCUUCGCAUGAAUGUUUUAGGCCUAUGUCUUAGCUUUCUAGC